This is a long non-coding RNA of Sarcophilus harrisii (Tasmanian devil), 637 nucleotides long. RefSeq lists it as uncharacterized. The transcript is spliced from 3 exons. The record is from RefSeq and is a predicted model, not a curated record. NCBI's taxonomy places the organism in Eukaryota, Metazoa, Chordata, Mammalia, Dasyuromorphia, Dasyuridae.
GAGGCUGUCCUAAAAUGGGUUAUGACCAUCAGCCACUCUUUUAGAAGUCCACCUUUUAAUAUCAUGUAAAACGACAGCAUCAGAUUUUUCUAUUCAAGGCACAGAUGAAAGAUGAAGAGGGAAAACGAUGCCCCCUGACCCAAGAAAAAGGCUGAAACUUACAGGAAUCUGUUGCAGCUGGAACAGCUGGAAUCCUCACCCUCGCUGCCGGCUGACUACCAGUCAAGUCACUGAAGCUUCCAUCCAUCCCAGUGCAAAGAAGCAGGCUUUUUACUCGUCACUAAGAGGACAGAUCUCGGAAGGAAGAAUCAAAAAGAAUAAAAAGAAACAGACGUGAUACUUCAAGCAGCCAAGGAAAGACCAGAGAAUGUAUACAAAGAAGGCUUCCAAAUUACAUCCUAAGAUUUUCAAUCUAGAACUAAACGAAACUUUAAGGUUUUCUGAUUCUGAUUUCUGAUUCUGAUCAGAGAGGUUAAGUGUAUUGCCCAACACCACACAGAGGGCAGAAAAGAGAUUUAAAUCCAGAUCCUCUGACCUCAAUGUUAGCACUUUCCCCACAUCCCACAAACUCUAAGUCAUAGGACCUAGCAGUGAAAGGACUUUAGAAAUCCUAAUAGGAUUUCUUUUUUUUUUUUUU